AAAAAAAUUAAAUAUCAUCGGAUAGUUUUGCAUUUUCUUACUUCAAUAUCUAGUAAUUUUUUUUUUUUUUUUUUUCUAUCAGCAUCUCUGUUAAUUCUUUAUAUACGAAAAAUUUUAGAUAUCCCACCUAUAAUUUAUCGGAUAUUUAUCAAAUUUUUAUUCUAGUACCAUGUGAUUUUAACUUUAUUAUUUAUUUAAUGAAAAAAAUUAACGGAAGGGGGGAAUAGAAAGAGAAAAAUGAAACCAUAGAGUAUUCAAAUAAUAUAUAUCAUUUUAAAACGACAGAAUAAUAAAGUAAGAAAACGCAAAACCGUAGGAAUGAUAUUUGAAGUUUUCUUUCAAAAAUUAUAUAGGAGUAACGUGUUCAAGUCUCAACAAUGAGAAAGUCUAUUAUGUGGGCGACGGUCACAACAUAUUAUUUAUAUUUAAAUAAGAAAAAACUUCAAAAAUUCCUCCUGUGGUUUUGUAGUUUCUCACUUUGGCUCCCUUGUGGUUUAAAAUGUAUCAAAUUGUACCCCUGUGGUUUCGUUUUUAUCUUUUCGGUAGUUUUUUUUGGUAAUAUUUCAUUAAAUUAUAUACAAAAAACUUCAGAUACCCAUCUAGAUUUAUCAAAUAUUCACUUUAGUACCCUUUAAUUUUAACUUUAUCACUGAUUUAAGAAAAAAAUAAUGAAAUUGAUAAAAAAAAGAGAAAAAAGAAACAUGGGGGCAAAUUGAUACAUUUUAAACCACAUGGGGGCAAAGUGAAAAACUACGAAACCACAGGAUAAGUUUUUGAAGUUUUCCUUUUAAAUAAUUAUAUAUUUUUAAAAAGUAGAAUUAUAAAUUUUUAAAUUUUAAAUGAAUAAUUUGAUUG
Molecule: long non-coding RNA, 855 nt
Filed under: Ananas comosus (pineapple)
Lineage: Eukaryota; Viridiplantae; Streptophyta; Magnoliopsida; Poales; Bromeliaceae
Description: long non-coding RNA (ACOM_LNC018269)
Source: RNAcentral